Perognathus longimembris pacificus (Pacific pocket mouse) is the source of this 107-nucleotide small nuclear RNA. The record is from RefSeq and is a predicted model, not a curated record. NCBI's taxonomy places the organism in Eukaryota, Metazoa, Chordata, Mammalia, Rodentia, Heteromyidae.
GUACUUGCUUUGGCAGCACAUAUACUAAAAUUGGAACGACACAAAGAAGAUCAGCAUGGCCCCUGUGCAAGAAUGACAUCCAAAUUCAUGAAGCAUUCCAUAUUUGG